RNAcentral lists this ribosomal RNA (253 nucleotides) under uncultured bacterium. RNAcentral's name for it is "partial 16S ribosomal RNA". It matches the Rfam family "Bacterial small subunit ribosomal RNA", at positions 524 to 776 of the family's 1533-position model. The record is from RNAcentral.
UACGAGGGGGGCGAGCGUCGUUCGGAUUCAUUGGGCGUAAAGGGUGCGUAGGCGGUGAGGUAAGUUGGAUGUGAAAUCCCGGGGCUUAACCCCGGAACUGCAUUCAAUACUGCCUUGCUAGAGUACUGGAGAGGAGAUUGGAAUUCACGGUGUAGCAGUGAAAUGCGUAGAUAUCGUGAGGAAGACCAGUGGCGAAGGCGAAUCUCUGGACAGUGACUGACGCUGAGGCACGAAGGCUAGGGGAGCAAACGGG